RNAcentral lists this ribosomal RNA (238 nucleotides) under uncultured bacterium. Its description in RNAcentral is "partial 16S ribosomal RNA". It matches the Rfam family "Bacterial small subunit ribosomal RNA", at positions 100 to 334 of the family's 1533-position model. The record is from RNAcentral.
CGGAACGGGUGAGUAACGCGUGAGGAACCUGCCUCAAAGAGGGGGGAAACAGUUGGAAACGACUGCUAAUACCGCAUAAGCCCACAGGUCGGCAUCGACCAGAGGGAAAAGGAGCAAUCCGCUUUGAGAUGGCCUCGCGUCCGAUUAGCUAGUUGGUGAGGUAAUAGCCCACCAAGGCGACGAUCGGUAGCCGGACUGAGAGGUUGAACGGCCACAUUGGGACUGAGACACGGCCCAG